UUCGUCCGAAGCUUGAUCUUUAGAGGAGUAAAGUCGUAACAAGGUUUCCGUAGGUGAACCUGCGGAAGGAUCAUU
Molecule: ribosomal RNA, 75 nt
Filed under: Opisthorchis felineus
Lineage: Eukaryota; Metazoa; Platyhelminthes; Trematoda; Opisthorchiida; Opisthorchiidae
Description: partial 18S ribosomal RNA
Rfam family: Eukaryotic small subunit ribosomal RNA
Source: RNAcentral